RNAcentral lists this ribosomal RNA (280 nucleotides) under uncultured Glomus. RNAcentral's name for it is "partial 18S small subunit ribosomal RNA". It matches the Rfam family "Eukaryotic small subunit ribosomal RNA", at positions 591 to 877 of the family's 1831-position model. The record is from RNAcentral. Lineage: Eukaryota; Fungi; Glomeromycota; Glomeromycetes; Glomerales; Glomeraceae.
CCAAUAGCGUAUAUUAAAGUUGUUGCAGUUAAAAAGCUCGUAGUUGAAUUUCGGGACUAAUAUGUCGGUCGUACUUUGUACGUACUAGCAUUAUUGGUUUCUCCCUUCUGACGAACCACGAUGUCAUUAAUUUGGUGUCGCGGGAAAUCAGGACUGUUACUUUGAAAAAAUUAGAGUGUUUAAAGCAAGCUCGCGCUUGAAUACAUUAGCAUGGAAUAAUGAAAUAGGACGUUUGAUUCUAUUUUGUUGGUUUCUAGGAUCGACGUAAUGAUUAAUAGGG